UCUUUGAGAGUUUGAUCCUGGCUCAGGACGAACGCUGGCGGCGUGGAUAAGGCAUGCAAGUCGAACGAGUCUUGUGCUUCGCACACUAUCAACGAAUAACGAAUUAAAUAAGAAUUUAUUAAUUCAGAUAUUCUAAAAAUAUAAUUCGUUGGUGAGUGUGCGAAGCGCGAGGCUAGUGGCGAACGAGGUAGUAACACGUAGGAACCUACCCCAAAGACGGGCAUAGCUCGCCGAAAGGCGAGGUAAUUCCCGAUGUUCCCGAGAGGGCAAAGCUUGGGUAAAACCAGGCGCUUUGGGAUGGGCCUGCGGGCUAUCAGCUAGUUGGUGAGGUAAUGGCUCACCAAGGCUAUGACGGCUAGGAGGCGUGAGAGCGUGGUCUCCACCGAUGGCACUGCGACACGGGCCAUACACCUACGGGUGGCUGCAGUCGAGAAUCUUCCACAAUGGGCGAAAGCCUGAUGGAGCGACGCCGCGUGGCCGAUGAAGUCCUUAGGGAUGUAAAGGCCUUUUAUUUGGGAGGAAUCCGCCGCAAGGCGAGAUGACUGUACCAAAUGAAUAAGGGGUUGCUAAACUCGUGCCAGCAGCAGCGGUAAGACGAGUACCCCAAGCGUUGUCCGGAAUCACUGGGCGUAAAGGGUGAGUAGGGGGAUUGAUUAGUCUCAUCUUAAAGAUCUGCGCUCAACGCAGGGAAUGGAUGAGAAACGGUCAAUCUUUGAGGAUGCGAGAGGUGUGCGGAACUCACGGUGUAGGGGUGAAAUCCGUUGAUAUCGUGGGGAACACCAAAGGCGAAGGCAGCACACUGGCGCAUUCCUGACCCUGAAUCACGAAAGCGUGGGCAUAAAAAAGGAUUAGAUACCCUUGUAUUCCACGCCCUAAACGAUGUUCACUGGCUUUUCCAAGUAUCGACCCUUGGAGAGGCGAAGCUAACGCGUUAAGUGAACCGCCUGGGAAGUACGGCCGCAAGGCUAAAACUCAAAGGAAUAGACGGGGACUUGCACAAGCGGUGGAUCAUGCGGUUUAAUUCGACGAUGAACGAAGAACCUUACCAGGGCUUGAAAUGCCGACGAAUACCAAGGGAAACUUUGGUAGUUCUCACAAGGAACGGCGGCACAGGUGAUGCAUGGCUGUCGUCAGUUCGUGGUUUGAAUUGUUCCCUUAAGUGGGGUAACGAACGCAACCCUCGUUGCCUGUUAUAAGUGUCAGGCGAGACUGCCCGUUUUUUGCGGGAGGAAGGAGAGGAUGACGCCAAGUCAGCAUGUCCCUCUGAUGCCCUGGGCUACACGCAUGAUACAAUGGCCGGUACAAUGGGCCGCCAAGGGGUAACCCGGAGCAAAUCCCAUCAAAGCCGGCCCCAAUUCGGAUUGAGGUCUGCAACUUGACCUCAUGAAGCUGGAAUCGCUAGUAAUCGCGGGUCAGCCAUACCGCGGUGAAUACGUUCUCAAGUCUUGUACUCACCGCCCGUCACGUCAAGGGAGCCGAGAGUACCCGACGGCCCGCUUUAAGCGGGACUACGGUAAGCUCGGUGACAGGGACGAAGUCGUAACAAGGCACGGCUAGCGGAAGCUG
This 1566-nucleotide ribosomal RNA is filed under the name bacterium. RNAcentral's name for it is "bacterial SSU rRNA". It matches the Rfam family "Bacterial small subunit ribosomal RNA". The record is from RNAcentral.